RNAcentral lists this ribosomal RNA (411 nucleotides) under uncultured bacterium. RNAcentral describes it as "bacterial SSU rRNA". It matches the Rfam family "Bacterial small subunit ribosomal RNA", at positions 395 to 793 of the family's 1533-position model. The record is from RNAcentral.
UGCCGCGUGUAUGAAGUAAGGCCUUCGGGUUGUAAAGUACUUUCAGCAGUGAGGAAGGUGGAUUAUGUUAAUAGCAUAUUCAUUUGACGUUUAGCUGCAGAAGAAGCACCGGCUAACUCCGUGCCAGCAGCCGCGGUAAUACGGAGGGUGCGAGCGUUAAUCGGAAUUACUGGGCGUAAAAGCGCAUGCAGGUGGUUUGUUAAGUCAGAUGUGAAAGCCCGGGGCUCAACCUCGGAAUUGCAUUUGAAAACUGGCAAACUAGAGUACUGUAGAGGGGGUAGGAAUUUCAGGUGUAGCGGUGAAAUGCGUAGAGAUCUGAAGGAAUACCGGUGGCGAAGGCGGCCCCCUGGACAGAUACUGACACUCAGAUGCGAAAGCGUGGGGAGCAAACAGGAUUAGAUACCCUGGUAG